RNAcentral lists this ribosomal RNA (745 nucleotides) under Microbacterium maritypicum. Its description in RNAcentral is "bacterial SSU rRNA". It matches the Rfam family "Bacterial small subunit ribosomal RNA", at positions 51 to 806 of the family's 1533-position model. The record is from RNAcentral. Lineage: Bacteria; Bacillati; Actinomycetota; Actinomycetes; Micrococcales; Microbacteriaceae.
ACACAUGCAAGUCGAACGGUGAAGCCCAGCUUGCUGGGUGGAUCAGUGGCGAACGGGUGAGUAACACGUGAGCAACCUGCCCCUGACUCUGGGAUAAGCGCUGGAAACGGCGUCUAAUACUGGAUACGAGUAGCGACCGCAUGGUCAGUUACUGGAAAGAUUUAUUGGUUGGGGAUGGGCUCGCGGCCUAUCAGCUUGUUGGUGAGGUAAUGGCUCACCAAGGCGUCGACGGGUAGCCGGCCUGAGAGGGUGACCGGCCACACUGGGACUGAGACACGGCCCCAGACUCCUACGGGAGGCAGCAGUGGGGAAUAUUGCACAAUGGGCGCAAGCCUGAUGCAGCAACGCCGCGUGAGGGAUGACGGCCUUCGGGUUGUAAACCUCUUUUAGCAGGGAAGAAGCGAAAGUGACGGUACCUGCAGAAAAAGCGCCGGCUAACUACGUGCCAGCAGCCGCGGUAAUACGUAGGGCGCAAGCGUUAUCCGGAAUUAUUGGGCGUAAAGAGCUCGUAGGCGGUUUGUCGCGUCUGCUGUGAAAUCCGGAGGCUCAACCUCCGGCCUGCAGUGGGUACGGGCAGACUAGAGUGCGGUAGGGGAGAUUGGAAUUCCUGGUGUAGCGGUGGAAUGCGCAGAUAUCAGGAGGAACACCGAUGGCGAAGGCAGAUCUCUGGGCCGUAACUGACGCUGAGGAGCGAAAGGGUGGGGAGCAAACAGGCUUAGAUACCCUGGUAGUCCCACCCCGUAAA